This 770-nucleotide ribosomal RNA is filed under the name uncultured Mycobacterium sp. Its description in RNAcentral is "bacterial SSU rRNA". It matches the Rfam family "Bacterial small subunit ribosomal RNA", at positions 565 to 1333 of the family's 1533-position model. Lineage: Bacteria; Bacillati; Actinomycetota; Actinomycetes; Mycobacteriales; Mycobacteriaceae. The record is from RNAcentral.
GAGCUCGUAGGUGGUUUGUCGCGUUGUUCGUGAAGUCUCACGGCUUAACUGUGAGCGUGCGGGCGAUACGGGCAGACUUGAGUACUGCAGGGGAGACUGGAAUUCCUGGUGUAGCGGUGGAAUGCGCAGAUAUCAGGAGGAACACCGGUGGCGAAGGCGGGUCUCUGGGCAGUAACUGACGCUGAGGAGCGAAAGCGUGGGGAGCGAACAGGAUUAGAUACCCUGGUAGUCCACGCCGUAAACGGUGGGUACUAGGUGUGGGUUUCCUUCCUUGGGAUCCGUGCCGUAGCUAACGCAUUAAGUACCCCGCCUGGGGAGUACGGCCGCAAGGCUAAAACUCAAAGAAAUUGACGGGGGCCCGCACAAGCGGCGGAGCAUGUGGAUUAAUUCGAUGCAACGCGAAGAACCUUACCUGGGUUUGACAUGCACAGGACGCCGGCAGAGAUGUCGGUUCCCUUGUGGCCUGUGUGCAGGUGGUGCAUGGCUGUCGUCAGCUCGUGUCGUGAGAUGUUGGGUUAAGUCCCGCAACGAGCGCAACCCUUGUCUCAUGUUGCCAGCGGGUAAUGCCGGGGACUCGUGAGAGACUGCCGGGGUCAACUCGGAGGAAGGUGGGGAUGACGUCAAGUCAUCAUGCCCCUUAUGUCCAGGGCUUCACACAUGCUACAAUGGCCGGUACAAAGGGCUGCGAUGCCGCGAGGUUAAGCGAAUCCUUUUAAAGCCGGUCUCAGUUCGGAUCGGGGUCUGCAACUCGACCCCGUGAAGUCGGAGUC